UNUGGUCUGUCACUGACGCUGAGGCUNGAAAGCGUGGGUAGCAAACAGGAUUAGAUACCCUGGUAGUNCACGCCGUAAACGAUGAGUGCUAGGUGUUAGGCCCUUUCCGGGGCUUAGUGCCGGAGCUAACGCAAUAAGCACUCCGCCUGGGGAGUACGACCGCAAGGUUGAAACUCAAAGGAAUUGACGGGGGCCCGCACAAGCGGUGGAGCAUGUGGUUUAAUUNGAAGCAACGCGAAGAACCUUACCAGGUCUUGACAUCCCGAUGCUAUUCUUAGAGAUAGGAAGUUACUUCGGUACAUCGGAGACAGGUGGUGCAUGGUUGUCGUCAGCUCGUGUCGUGAGAUGUUGGGUUAAGUCCCGCAACGAGCGCAACCCUUAUUGUUAGUUGCCAUCAUUAAGUUGGGCACUCUAGCGAGACUGCCGGUAAUAAACCGGAGGAAGGUGGGGAUGACGUCAAAUCAUCAUGCCCCUUAUGACCUGGGCUACACACGUGCUACAAUGGUCGGUACAACGAGUUGCGAGCCGGUGACGGCAAGCUAAUCUNUGAAAGCCGAUCUCAGUUCGGAUUGGAGGCUGCAACUCGCCUCCAUGAAGUNGGAAUCGCUAGUAAUCGCGGAUCAGCACGCCGCGGUGAAUACGUUCCCGGGCCUUGUACACACCGCCCGUCACNCC
This 675-nucleotide ribosomal RNA is filed under the name uncultured bacterium. RNAcentral's name for it is "bacterial SSU rRNA". It matches the Rfam family "Bacterial small subunit ribosomal RNA", at positions 728 to 1403 of the family's 1533-position model. The record is from RNAcentral.